Long non-coding RNA from Prunus dulcis (almond), 798 nucleotides. RefSeq lists it as uncharacterized. The record is from RefSeq and is a predicted model, not a curated record. The transcript is spliced from 3 exons. Lineage: Eukaryota; Viridiplantae; Streptophyta; Magnoliopsida; Rosales; Rosaceae.
GAGAAACGUUUGAGUCUUGGUAAGUGGUGUUCUUACUUGGAACCCUCGCGAGUCACGACCCAGGCAAGGCAAAAGAGGAAGACCCUCCAACUUUCGUGAAUAUUCGGCCCACUGUUGCUUCCAAGUCCUCCAUUGUUGAAGGAGGAGGAGGCCUCCAUUACCAUUACCCAGAAAAUGUCAGUCGUUAGUGAUAAAAGGCUCAGGAGAGGAAGCCCGCCAUGGUCUGAUCUUCCAUAUGACAUAUUGUGUUGCAUAAUGGGGCACCUUUGUUUUGUGGCCAAAUUCAAUUUCGUGCUGUUUGCAAGAAUUUUGGACUGGUUGCUGGUAUUAGGCCUAAAGAUAAACUGCCCUGGGUUCUAACAUUAAACUUCAGUUUUAAAAAUGAUAUGUACCCAUCUAGCCUCUAUGAUCCAUGUACCCUUCAAGCAUAUAAGCUUGAUCAUGAAUUAACAUCUUCUAGCUGGACUGGGGUUGUCAAACUACAAGUUUGCGGUGCAAGAAACGGUUGGUUGCUUCUAGCUGAAAUUACACCUUUUUUUUUCUUUGGUCACACUGAUUUUUACCUCUACAAUCCUUUCACUGAUGAUGCGAGUAUCAAUUUGCCCCGUUAAAGAACCAAGGAAUUUAAAGCCACAUUCACCUCCAAUCUGACGUCCCAAGAUUGUUUGUUUUUUGCCAUACAUGCUGAUGAGGAAAGGGAAAAGGUAAUGUGCAUAAGCACCUGCAGCCAUGGUGAUAGAAAAUGGACUGAGUCUCUAGCUGUUGAAGAAAACACGAAUUCAUCGGAGUUACGAAGCC